Molecule: long non-coding RNA, 2090 nt
Filed under: Homo sapiens (human)
Lineage: Eukaryota; Metazoa; Chordata; Mammalia; Primates; Hominidae
Description: non-protein coding TRHDE-AS1:20
Source: RNAcentral
AUUCUCGAUGAGCGCGUUGUAGAUAAUCUUCAGAUUGUAAUUCCUCUGCGCGUCCAGUGUCCUAUUCAGCACCACCACUAAGACCUGGGUUUGCGGGUAGAGGAAAAAACCGGCUACAGGGACAGCCCCGAACGCCCGGUCCUCGGCCAGCUGCACUUUCUCCACCGCCACUCGGGAAGCGUGCAGCACUACGUAGCGGGUGGCGUUCCGGCACGCGAUCUCCACGUUGACCUCCCCGGAGAAGGUGAAGUUCUCCAUGAAGGCGGUGAGCAUCAGAUUGUAGUGCAGCGGCUUCAGGUGGCCCGACAGGCGCAGCUGCGUCCACGGCUCCCACGGCUCCCGCUCCUCCUCCGACGGCGGCUGGGCCGACGUGGUCCCCGGACUGGCCACCCCACCCGCCUCGGGCUGCCAGGAGUCCCCGCCUGCGUGGUGGUUGCGCCGGGCCGAUCCAGGGAGGCUCCCGUUGCCGCCGCGCUCCGGAAAGCCUGAGGGGCCACCGUCGGCGCCUGGCGUGGCACUCGCCCCGCACUCGUCGAAGCGCAGGCUGAGCAGCACAGCGAGCAUUGUGACCGCGAGCAAUGCCACGAGGGACACAGCGAAGGCCAGCACAAGCCGCUUGUGUACGGCGAUGUGGCGCUCCGUGGUGCGGGGUCGCACUCCCACUGAGUCUGCCCACGGGUCGGAGAGCCCCCUGCUGCCAGCCCGAAGCGCGGCGUCGUCUUCCCCCAUCGCGGCUGCGAAGGCGGCGGCGUUCGGUCCUCUGGGUGGAAUGUGCUCGCAGCAGCAGUGACGGCGGCCACAGCACGGGAGGCACCCGAGCCAUACACCCUGCAGCUGGAGAGAAAAGGAUGGCCGAGGUGGGAGAGACUAGAGUGAACCAGCAGGAGGAAGUCCCAGGGCCGCGAAGCUACGACGGAGAUCCGUCCUGGAAAAGCCUUCUCCACCCUGGGCACUUUAAGCGGCGGUGGCGGCAAACGGCAGGAGGUUGCAGACCCGACAGCGAGACUCCCUCAUUCCAGUCUUGCUCUGCCCUCCGGAGAUGACAAGUGAGAAAGAAGUGUCCGGCCGGGCCAUCCCCUUCAGAGAAGCAACCACUUCACAAGAAGAUUCUGAAGUUGGCCAUUUUUGAUCCCAGAACAGUUUCUCAUAGAUUAGAAAUAUUGGAGUCUACACAAAAAUCGAUAUUCAUUUACAAGAUCAUCACUAAACUUAUCUUGCAUAACGUCUCUGCCAGCCACAUUAACUGCCUGCAGAAAAGUUUGUUAUGACUGCCUGGUUUUGUAAAGUCCAGACAACUUUACACUAAGCUGAAUAAUGUUCAUUUACUCAAAAGCUAGUCUAAAAUUGUAGAGUUAAUGAACACUAAACCAAAGUUAGUGCUUUAACUGAAAGAUAAUUUACUGUACCCUUUGGAGUCCAGUCCGGUACCAUCAAGAUCUGGGAAAAUACAACUGGUAAGCACUUUAACUUUUUCUCAGAAAAUCAUUAUCUACUUCCUUCAUACUUACUUAACAUCUCAAGAAAAGGAAAGAAAGGGGGAAAAUAUCUAAAAUUUUAAUCUAAAUCUUUCUUAAACUGUGCAUUUCAAAUACAUAAAAUACUGUGUGAAAGGGUGUUAAAAGUAGUAUCUAGAAAUGGCUUCCAACUCUAUAACUUGGUGUAAGCCUUGUGGAAAGUAAUUUACCAACGACUGUCAAAAUUCACAAAUCUAAAGACUGUAGCAAGACUCUUGAGAUACCUUGUAACUAUUGGCAUGAUUCCUUUCUACUACAAUGAAAGUUUCUUCAGGGCAGGAAACACAUAUAUUCAUUUCUGUAUCCACAGAGUAAGCAAAGAUUCUGGGACAUACUGUCCUUCAUACGCGUAUUUCGAAUGAACGAAGGCUCCAUUUGGUAGUAUUUAUCAUCAGCUUCUUGGCCCUUACUACUCCCUUCUUUCAUUUAAAGCUUAUGUCUUAUGUCCUCUUCCCUGCCCAGCACUCUUUUUGGCUGUAUGCCUGAUAAGGGUGCUCUUCAGCUUGGCCUCCUUUGACUCUAUUCCUUCCCUGUUCUACUUUUAGAGUCUCAAUAAACUCUUGUUUCUUAUAGUGG